Ictalurus punctatus (channel catfish) is the source of this 3906-nucleotide long non-coding RNA. Lineage: Eukaryota; Metazoa; Chordata; Actinopteri; Siluriformes; Ictaluridae. The record is from Ensembl.
AUAGAUAGUAAGUCCUAAAAUGUCUUCAGAUUCAGAUUUGUGUGUGUGUGUGUGUGUGAGUGUGUGUGUGUUCGACUUUGUCGCUCUUAGUGACCAAAAUAAUACUUGUCUCCAAACUGAAGUAAAUUCAGUUUUAAAAAAAAAAGAAAAAAAAGGAGAUCAUUUCAAGAGUGUUUUAGUGAGCUGGAUAAAGAGAGGGGAAAGUAUGAGUCUAUAGACUGAGUAAUUGCUAGUGAGUGUGUGUGUUUGUGUGUGUGUGUUGACAAGAGAGGCACGAGCGCAGAGUGGGUGUUGCAGAUCUCUUUAGAUACUGACCGUUCCAAAACACUUUGUGUAAACACACAGCCGCCCACGUGAGUGCGUGCACGCACACACGCGCACACAUGCACGCACACAAACACGCACACACACACACACACACACACACACACACACAGUCAGGUACUUUCCCUCGUCCUCUCCCUCUCUGCGUGGUUCUUCAUAGCUUGUAUGGGAUGUUAAAUAUCCAGCUGUCUGCACUCCACCCAGCCCACCUCUCUCUCUCUCUCUGUCUCCCUCUCUCUGUCUCUCUCUCUGUCUCUGUCUCUCUCUGUCUCUCUCUCUGUCUCUCUCUCUGUGUCUUUCUCUCUCUGUCUCUCUCUUUUUCUCCCCCUCUACAUCCUCCUGUCCUCCCCCACAUGCCCCCUUUUCUUCUGACAAAACACAGGAGAGAGUGGGAGUCGAGAACGUGUGGAGGAAUCCGCACGCAUUCCUCCUCCUUCAUUGCCUCAUUUCCUGUCCCAAUCUCACAGUCUCUCGCUCAGUAAUUGAAAACAGAGUUCUGUCUCUUUCCUUUUUUUUUGUUUUUCAUCUAUAUCACUUAGCUAGUCCUACAUCCCUCUUUCUUCACUCGUUUCCUUUGUCUAUCAGUCUCACAGCAUGCAUGUGUUUCUCUCUGUGCUUCACCCAUCCUCUGGAACUCCUCAGGUCUGUCGUCGCGGGACAUAGGCGAGGACGGGAGAACUGAUGACUUGGCUUAAAUUGAAUUGGAUAGAUAGAUCGAUGAAAAGAUAAACAAAUUGAUAUGGAUUUAUGAUGUGAAGCGGAGUUACUAUUACCACCCUGAAGCGAGGGAAUAAAGAAAGCUGAGCCGGAUAAUGAAUACUGUUUUAGGGCCUAGCCAUGAUGGCGCUAGAUGUCUGGGAAGCAGGACGCUACGGUCUGGAUGUGACGAAGCGAAUUGGAAAGCCCGGUUUGAGCAAGACGCAGGAACUUUGAGCUCGAGUUCUUUUUUUUUGUGCUGGUAAAUCCAAAUCCAUAAGAAUUCUCACAAGGCAAUUUGGUAAGGAAGGUAACAAAUUGUUCGGUUUCAUUUUAUUGUUCUUACUUACUGUCGCAAUGAAACAUCUGAGAAUUCGGUUCCACUUCUCUGUCAGCCAAGAACAAGAAUCUGAGGCUAUCAUGGGCACAGACUCACCAAAACUAUCCAGUUUGGGCAAGCCUGCCCCCCCCCAUCUGUCUCAAAGUUUGGCAUGUUCUGUGCUCAGAGAUGCUUUUCUGCUUACCACGGUUGUAAAGAAUGGUUAUUUGUACUGUACCAUAUCCUACCACAAGCUCCCUGUCAGCUCGAACCAGUCCUCCCAUUCUCCUCUGCCCUCUCUCAUCCAGUUUCCACCGGCAGAACUGCUGUUUUUUUUUUUUUUUUUAAGGUUUUUGCACCAAUCUAGAAACUGUGUGUGAAAACAUCAACUAAAACUCUUCCUUACAUUGCCUGACCCUGAGCAGGUUUCAGAUCGCGGACAUGUCUUGGUAAGUCUCCCGGACUCCUUGGCUGUGUAAACACGCCUCCUAUCGGUCAGGUAAUAGACACGCCCCCAUCUUUCUGCUCGGAAACCAGUGCUAAAUGGCAUCGUUGUGAGGCGGGGAAAAAACUGGAGCUUCCGUUCCACGAUGGCGAAACCUGCUGAUUAUGAACGAGAUGACAUUGGACACCGAAUGAUCUACACCAACCAUGUUCCUGGAGAUCUACCAUCCUGAAGAUUUUAGCUCCAACCAUAAUCGUGCCCACCUGACCAUCUAAUCAUUGCCUUAAGAAGUUCUUGAUUGACUAAAAUAGGCAUGUUAGAUGUUGGUUGGAGAUGGAACCUGCAGCAAGGUAGAUCUCAAGGAAUGUUAUACAGUAUUUCCUGUAUAUUUCGUCCAUUGGCACUGUAAACUGGUAAAGUGUUUGAAUUGAUGGUUGCUAGAAGAAACCAGUCAGAUAUUCGGUGUAAUUUAGCUAAUGUUGUCAUGUCUAGCCAAGCAGAAUGAGAUGAUGGAAAGUUAGCUAGUUAGCUAGAUAGUUAUCAUAUUAAUGUGAACGAACUCCAUUGCCCACUGUAGAUUUUAGGAGGCGUGACGUUGCUGUCCAUUGGCAGGAAUUAGAGAUAGGAUCAAGGACGUCUGUCCAGGAUGUCUAAACAGCUGAGCUAACUGACCAGAACCCUGACGCUGUCUCAUUUUCAGUGGGACUUCGAUACUAUAUGUCGCCUUUGUGUAUAUUUAUAGAAUUAAAUAGAACAGCUGUACUGAUCUAGAAACUAACAAACCGGUUAUGUUUAUGCACACCUACACACUUCACACUAUACUGUAAUCCUAGUAUUUCCUGUACCUCUCUCGUCGCCUAAAAAUAAGCUGGUGCUGAAGUUUAAGUGUGGUAAUUUGAAACAGUGGCCUGCUCCUUACCUUUGGGAUCCUAUUAGUAGGAGAGAGAGAGAGAGAGAGAGAGAGAGAAAGAGAGAGAGAGAGGGAGGGAUAAGGCCUCGCUUGGAUAUAUAUAUAUAUAUAUAUAUAGCGCUACAGUGUGUAUGGUUCACCAAGAGAAUUGCUGUCUGUUUAUCCGUUUAGUGUUUUGGGUUUUGUUUCCAGAAGGGAAUCUUCCCACGGCCUCGCUGAGGAGCACGACGAUCUGCGUCAGGAAGAAAAAGGAGGGAACGAGGAAAAGCGAGGGGAACAUCACAGAGGAGGAGGAGAUUCCCAAAUAUUCCCUGAAACAUAUAAGAGAAUGUAAACACAUCCGCUGCCCCUGUGACAUGUCAUUAACACUGCACUCUCUUUCCUGCAGGACAGCAGUGUGUGUCUGUGUGUGAAAAUUGUGCUGACUUUGCUACUGACAACCGGAUUCCUGUUCUUGGCUGACAGGAGUGAAACCCAAUGUGGUCUUUUUGUCACUGUAGCCCGUCCGCCUCAGGGUUUGACGUGGCGAGCAAUCAGCGAUGCUUUUCUGCUCACCACAGUUGUAAAGAGUUCCUAAUUACUCUAGCCUUCCUGUCAUCUUGAACCAGUCUGGCCUUUCUUCUCUGACGUCUCUCGCCGUCCUGUGUCAUUUCUAUCCGCAUGGGCGUGGUCUCUUCCGGUAUGACCCCGCCCCCCUCCCUAUCCAUCCACAAUGUAUAAGGGAUCACCGAAUGGUUUGAUUGGAUGUGAAUCAUAUGCUAUGACCUUUAAAAUCACCAGACUGUCAAACCAAAUUGAACACCUAUGGGAUGGGAGACUUUGGAGUGUUAAGGACUUCGCACGGAGACAUCCCCACGGCUUCGGCAAAAAAAAAAAAAAGGGAGAAAAUAAACAAGUGUGGAAAUAGACAUCGCGUGGAGGCUUUGCUCGCCGUAUUACACAUGCCACGAACAUGCUACACGAGAAAACCUGUGAUUGGAGCAUUCAUAUUUGACACGGAUGGAUUCAGAGGCAGUGAAGAUAACUUGCAGUAAUGAGUGUGUGUGUGUGUGUGUGUGACUGAUCGAACAGGAUGCUGAACUGAAGUCAAUUCUGCAAAACGGGCGACAUCCUACUAACCUCUGACCCCUGACCCGGCUCGGCUCGGCCCCCCAGCGACCCGCAUGUGGCAGUGAUCAGAGCCAAUCAGAGGGUAGGAACUGUGAUGGAGAG